RNAcentral lists this long non-coding RNA (200 nucleotides) under Panax ginseng (ginseng). RNAcentral describes it as "long non-coding RNA (PGIN_LNC015620)". The record is from RNAcentral. Lineage: Eukaryota; Viridiplantae; Streptophyta; Magnoliopsida; Apiales; Araliaceae.
UCCCACGUAAAUUAAAAAUCAAGAGGAUUUUCAUUUCAUUAUAAUGAUUUAUUCUCUAAAAUAAUCAUCAAAUACACAAUUUUUUAUUCUAUUCCCCCACUAUAUUUCAUUCUAUUCCCCCACUAUAUUUCAUUCUAUUCCAUUCCAUUCCAUUCCAUUCUCUUAUUCCUUCCGUAACCUUACAACUAUUGAGACGGUUG